Molecule: long non-coding RNA, 899 nt
Organism: Ornithorhynchus anatinus (platypus)
Lineage: Eukaryota; Metazoa; Chordata; Mammalia; Monotremata; Ornithorhynchidae
Exons: 3
Source: RefSeq, a predicted model, not a curated record
UCCCGCCGGCCGAGCCGUUCCCGCCCCGGGCCAGGCUCUCCCCCUCAUCCCCCAACCCCCCCGGGCCUCCCGAGGGGGGCUCGCCCCUUGGCCCCCGUAACGCGGCGCUGCCGGGCAGCCACCUCAACUCGCCCUGCGAGGCGGGAAGCGAGAGCAGCCGGUGCCCGCCUCUCCUGCGGUCGGAUCCGGAAAGGUGGACCCUCUGGCAGCCGGAGAAGAGGCGGAAAGCUUGCCCGGUCUUCCGGGCCGAGUGGCCUGAACCCCAUUCCGAUCCGCGAUGGGCGACUGCAAAUGCAUCUGCUGGUGCGCGGUGUGGUUCGUGGUGCUGCUUGUCUUGGCCUGGCCCGUCAGUCUCUUCCUGGCCCUCCUGUUCGGGGUCAUAGCCCCCAUCACCACCCUCCUGGCGCUCGACGACGUCAGCGAAGCCCUUCUAAAAGGAGCGAACCUGGGCCGAAAAUGUGCCCUGAACGCCAUCAACGGCAAACCUCUCUUCUAAGGCCUCCCUCCCUCCCGGCCUCCUGCCGGCCCCUGGACUCCCUCCCACCCCGACUCUGCCUUCAGCCCCACCGCCCUGUCGCCGGACGGACAUUCUCGGGACAGACGACUUAGUUAUCUCAGACAACUAUCUUCCAUUCGCGAAGGGGGAGGGUCCCGGGCUCCCGGCGAGGUCAGCGGCCGGACUCGCUGCGGGCCGGCAGCCGGGGCACUCCCCGUGCCAGCCUGGCUCUCAGACCCCAGCAGAAUGCAGACGGCGCCUUCCUCCCGAAAUAAAACUCUGUGUGUGCGCGUGUGUGAGUGAGUGAUCACGCGUGGGUACGUGUGGGUCGCGAAGCCCAGGCAGACCGUCUGGCCGGGGGUGCCAACAAGCCCCACCUAAUAAAGACCCAGCUUUCCCUCCA